GUCCAGUCCAAUUUAUAUAGUCCAAAAUAAAAAAUACAAAAAUAAAUCCUAUCUAACUUACGCUAAUCCUAACUACGCUCCCGUGCUUUACUCGAUGCCUCGGGCCUUCAUCAUGAUCUGUCUUCACCAACAUAAUACGCCGGGGCAUUCCCCGGUGAAUAAAUACAUGAAACCUCGGGGUAUUCCCCGGCUAAAUGAAUAUGUCUUCCAAAUGUGAGAAAAGAGAGUAAUUCAACAAACAUUCCACAUUAAUCAACAAUCCAUAAAUUUGCCUACCCUAAACUAAACUUUUGCCUAUUAAGAUUUCGGCCUAGAAUGUUAUCCUAUUGAAUUCACCAACUUGCUAUUUAUUUCGAUUAACCAAAACAACAAUCAACCAAAAUACACCCUUUUUAUCAGUUUUCAAUUUCGUCCCAAAUUGCCUUUAACACCAAAUUUCCCCGAUUAACGAUUAUCAUUUAUACCAUCCAGAAUCAAAGAACCCAACCACGAAUCAAACAAAGAUUAUGCAUCAAUAAAGAUUAAACAACGCAUAAUAUUCAAUUCAAUGCAUCGAAUAUGACAAAUAAAAAAAUAAAAUGAGUGAAGAUCAGAAUUGGACCUCAAUUGAUGAUCAAAAUCAAGUAUCACUCGAUCAAAAAGAUAAAAACCGCACCAAACAACCUCGAAUCAAACCCCAACAGCAAAACCUAGCUUCGAUUUACGCUCGUCACUUUGUUUUCCGCUAAUCUAAAAUAGAAUACGCAAUGAAUAGAGAAGACCCGUACCCGUUUCUUUCAGAACCGGCAAGUUUUUGAUAGAAAACAGUUGGAUUUGAACGAAUUUGGGCGAACGAAGAUGUUCUCCGGUGAGAAAUCGCCAGAGCAAUAGAAACAGAAGUGGGUUCUGGUGACUAAUCUAGGGAAUUUUCGAUGAGUGUUUCGCUCUUUUUGUUGCUCUUAUCAAUUCUGUUUCACUCUCCUCUCUCUUCGUCUAUCUCUCUCGCGUCUCUCUCCCUCAAUCUGCAUGAGCUUUGCGUCUGGCUGGCGUAUUGAUGGUGGGUUCUCUGGUGUGUAUGAGAAUUGAGACGUUGAGAGUGGUUCUUCUGUGUUGUUGAUUGUUGAUCUUUGCAUCUAGAAGAUGAGAGAAAAAAAGGAGUGAAUAUUACUGUGUGUGUGCCUGUCCUCCUUUUUUUUUGGUAUCUGAUGGUUGUAUAUUAGAAAGGGAAAAUGGAGUCCCCCCAAAAUCGUGUGGGUCCCCCUGGUUGUAUUCUUUUCCAAAUAAUGGAAGAAGAGUCCUGGGUAUCUCUUUUUUUUUGUAAUAUGUGGGCCCCUGGUUAUUUUUUUUAGUGGGGGUUGAUCAAGUUGGGGGAUCCGUGUUGAGUUCGUUGAAUCGAGGUCUUAAGUUCGUUGCCUUUGUUCGAACAAAUUCAGUGGAUGAAAUAAAAUCGAGGUCAAGACGGAAUAGACAAAUCUAAUUUGGGUAGGCAAAAGUAGGGAUUGUGUAUGGUUGAAUGAUUUGAAAUGUUUGUGGAAUGGUUUGUUUUUAUCGUAUUUCAUCAAAUGUAUUCAUUUAGCCGGGGAAUACCCCGAGGCUCAUUUUAUUUAUUCACCGGAGAAUGCCUCGACGUAUUAUGUUGGCGGAAGAUGUUCGUGAUCAAGGCCCGAAACAUUGGGUAAAGCAUUGGAGCGUAGUUUAGGAUUAGUGUAGGUUUACUUUUUAAGUACCUUUAUAUUUCGGAUUGUAAUAAUUGGACUGGACACUAUAUUUUUGGAUUGUUUUGUUUUGUUUUGUUUGUUUGA
Molecule: long non-coding RNA, 1781 nt
Organism: Capsicum annuum
Lineage: Eukaryota; Viridiplantae; Streptophyta; Magnoliopsida; Solanales; Solanaceae
Exons: 2
Source: RefSeq, a predicted model, not a curated record